GCCUGGGUGGCUCAGUCAGUUAAGCAACUGACUUCGGCUCAGGUCAUGAUCUCACGGUUCGUGGGUUCGAGCCCCACAUCGGGCU
Molecule: transfer RNA, 85 nt
Organism: Felis catus (domestic cat)
Lineage: Eukaryota; Metazoa; Chordata; Mammalia; Carnivora; Felidae
Rfam family: tRNA
About the family: Transfer RNA (tRNA) molecules are approximately 80 nucleotides in length. Their secondary structure includes four short double-helical elements and three loops (D, anti-codon, and T loops). Further hydrogen bonds mediate the characteristic L-shaped molecular structure. tRNAs have two regions of fundamental functional importance: the anti-codon, which is responsible for specific mRNA codon recognition, and the 3' end, to which the tRNAs corresponding amino acid is attached (by aminoacyl-tRNA synthetases). tRNAs cope with the degeneracy of the genetic code in two manners: having more than one tRNA (with a specific anti-codon) for a particular amino acid; and 'wobble' base-pairing, i.e. permitting non-standard base-pairing at the 3rd anti-codon position.
Source: Rfam